RNAcentral lists this ribosomal RNA (471 nucleotides) under uncultured bacterium. RNAcentral describes it as "bacterial SSU rRNA". It matches the Rfam family "Bacterial small subunit ribosomal RNA", at positions 30 to 490 of the family's 1533-position model. The record is from RNAcentral.
AUUGAACGCUGGCGGCAUGCCUAACACAUGCAAGUCGAACGGCAGCACGGGAGCUUGCUCCUGGUGGCGAGUGGCGGACGGGUGAGUAAUGCAUAGGAAUCUGCCCAGUAGCGGGGGACAACUUGGGGAAACUCAAGCUAAUACCGCAUGCGCCCUACGGGGGAAAGCGGGGGACCUUCGGGCCUCGCACUAUUGGAUGAGCCUAUGUCAGAUUAGCUUGUUGGUGGGGUAACGGCCUACCAAGGCGACGAUCUGUAGCUGGUCUGAGAGGACGAUCAGCCACACUGGGACUGAGACACGGCCCAGACUCCUACGGGAGGCAGCAGUGGGGAAUAUUGCACAAUGGGCGAAAGCCUGAUGCAGCAAUGCCGCGUGUGUGAAGAAGGCCUGCGGGUUGUAAAGCACUUUCAGUAGGGAGGGAAACAGUAGCCGGUUAAUAUCCGGUUGCCUUGACGUUACCUACAGAAGAAG